RNAcentral lists this ribosomal RNA (587 nucleotides) under Gelastocoris oculatus. RNAcentral describes it as "SSU rRNA". It matches the Rfam family "Eukaryotic small subunit ribosomal RNA", at positions 404 to 909 of the family's 1831-position model. Lineage: Eukaryota; Metazoa; Arthropoda; Insecta; Hemiptera; Gelastocoridae. The record is from RNAcentral.
CGGCUACCACAUCCAAGGAAGGCAGCAGGCACGCAAAUUACCCACUCCCGGCACGGGGAGGUAGUGACAAAAAAUAACGAUACGGGACUCAUCCGAGGCCCCGUAAUCGGAAUGAGUACACUUUAAAUCCUUUAACAAGGAUCCAUUGGAGGGCAAGUCUGGUGCCAGCAGCCGCGGUAAUUCCAGCUCCAAUAGCGUAUAUUAAAGUUGUUGCGGUUAAAAAGCUCGUAGUUGGUUCUGUGUGCCACGCUGUCGGUUCACCGCCUGCGGUGCAACUGGCAUGUCGUGGGAUGUCCUGUCGGUGGCGGCCGUGCGCUUUGGCGGGGCGUAGGCCUCUUGAGACCAAAACCCCGCCGCUGCUCGUGCGGUCGCCUAUCCCAUCCUGCUCCGGUGCUUUUAAUCGAGUGUCGAGGCAGGCCGACAAGUUUACUUUGAACAAAUUAGAGUGCUCAAAGCAGGCAGAAUUCCGCCUGAAUACUGGUGCAUGGAAUAAUAGAAUAGGACCUUGGUUCUAUUUUGUUGGUUUUUCGGAAUCCAAGGUAAUGAUCAAUACGGACAGGCGGGGGCAUUCGUAUUGCGGCGUUAGA